AAGAGCGCGUAGGUGGCCACAUAAGUCCGUUGUGAAAGUCAAAGGCUCAACCUUUGAAAGCCGAUGGAUACUGUGUGGCUAGAGUACGGAAGAGGCGAGUGGAAUUCCUGGUGUAGCGGUGGAAUGCGCAGAUAUCAGGAGGAACACCAAUAGCGAAGGCAGCUCGCUGGGACGUUACUGACACUGAGGCGCGAAAGCGUGGGGAGCGAACAGGAUUAGAUACCCUUGGU
Molecule: ribosomal RNA, 230 nt
Filed under: uncultured bacterium
Lineage: Bacteria
Description: partial 16S ribosomal RNA
Rfam family: Bacterial small subunit ribosomal RNA
Source: RNAcentral